UAUCUCUCCGUACGGGGAAGGAUGAGAAGCUUCGACUAAGGUUCGAUUCGAGCGCAGCGAGAAAGCGUUGCCGCAGGCAACGACCCGAAGGGCGAAGCGCGCAGCGCUGAGUCAUCCUUCCCCCCCACCA
RNAcentral lists this small RNA (130 nucleotides) under Salmonella enterica subsp. enterica. Its description in RNAcentral is "RtT sRNA". It matches the Rfam family "RtT RNA". From Rfam's summary of the family: This family represents a bacterial cis-regulatory element known as RtT RNA. The exact function of RtT is unknown although it is thought that it may be involved in changing the cellular response in relation to amino acid starvation. The record is from RNAcentral. Lineage: Bacteria; Pseudomonadati; Pseudomonadota; Gammaproteobacteria; Enterobacterales; Enterobacteriaceae.